RNAcentral lists this ribosomal RNA (266 nucleotides) under uncultured bacterium. RNAcentral's name for it is "partial 16S ribosomal RNA". It matches the Rfam family "Bacterial small subunit ribosomal RNA", at positions 793 to 1055 of the family's 1533-position model. The record is from RNAcentral.
GUCCAAGCGGUAAACUAUGGGUACUAGGUGUCGGGGGUAUCGACCCCCUCGGUGCCGCAGCUAACGCAAUAAGUACCCCGCCUGGGGAGUACGAUCGCAAGAUUGAAACUCAAAGGAAUUGACGGGGGCCCCGCACAAGCGGUGGAGUAUGUGGUUUAAUUCGACGCAACGCGCAGAACCUUACCUGGGCUUGACAUGCUUGGGACCGGCGGUGAAAGUCGCCUUCCUCUUCGGAGGCCGAAGCACAGGUGCUGCAUGGCUGUCGU